UACGUAGGUGGCUAGCGUUGUCCGGAUUUACUGGGCGUAAAGAGCUCGCAGGCGGUCGUUCAAGUCGAGUGUGAAAGCCCCCGGCUCUACUGGGGAGGGUCACUCGAUACUGAUCGACUCGAAGGCAGAAGAGGGAAGCGGAAUUCCCGGUGUAGUGGUGAAAUGCGUAGAUAUCGGGAGGAACACCAGUGGCGAAGGCGGCUUUCUGGUCUGCUCUUGACGCUGAGGCGCGAAAGCUAGGGUAGCAAACGGG
Molecule: ribosomal RNA, 253 nt
Filed under: uncultured bacterium
Lineage: Bacteria
Description: partial 16S ribosomal RNA
Rfam family: Bacterial small subunit ribosomal RNA
Source: RNAcentral